CACGUUCACAAAAUCAAAACUAAGUUCACAGAGUUAAAACUAAUAGAUAUCAAAUAACAAUCUAAUUCUAACUGAAAAACAAUUAUUACAUUGCAUUUCCUAAUGGAUCAGAUUGCCUUAGACUGGGUCUUAGAUUCCCACGUCAUGCAUGUAGUUGUUUUGGCCUUAGACUCUUUUUCCACAUAAUUGCAUGAGUUGCAUAAGACCCCACGUACAUGCAUGCAUGCCAGCCUUUCCCAUGUAUCUGCAUGCAUACACAACCUUCAUCACUUUUAGGCCACGAAGUCUUGGAACCUAGGAUUCUUCCUAAGGGCUCUGUUGGACCUUCUUGGUUCAUUAGUGGUGAUGAGACUUGAACUGUUGACAUUUGUCUUAUUUGACACAUUGAACCAACGUAUCUCAAUCAAACACAAGUAUUAUCAUGUAGUCAACAACAACACAAGCUUAUCACCGCUCAAUUCCCAUCCUCCAGGACCGACAGUGUUUCAAAAUUUUAGGCAGAGAAUCAUAAAACUUUAAAUAAAAUCCUACCAAAAUUAGUAAUAUCACCAUUUCUCCAUGCUUCUAUUGAAAAGGACCUCUAACCAAUAUUCAAAAACUGAAACUCCAGGACCCCAAAUUGCACAAAUUAGAUCUGGUGGAUACAUUGCUUGGAUCUAUUGAACUGUAGGAUCUAAUUGUUGAUAUUGUAUUGAGAAACACCAAUUGUAAUAUUGUGCAAUAGGUUUUGAGAUUUUGCUAGUCGGUUCCAUGAGUGAGGCAAGUUCAAAAAGAUGGUUUACUAGAAAGAAAGGAUUAGAUAGUGGUGGAAAAUGAGCCAAGGGGAUGGUGGGAUGGGUGUUGGUGCUUGGGUAAGUGGCUAAUUUUUACAAACGUCUCGAUUAGGGAAUAAUCCCAUUUACAAUGGAAGGAGUAUUGAUAUCUUCGAUAGACUCCUCUUGUAUGGAUGGAACUUGAAUCUUCCACCUCUACAGCUUAAUUAUUGUUUUUAACUAAUAUCCAUUUGUUCAUAUGGUUUAUCUCGAGACAUGGUUGCCAUCCAAGUCCAAAUUCUGC
This 1056-nucleotide long non-coding RNA is filed under the name Olea europaea subsp. europaea. Lineage: Eukaryota; Viridiplantae; Streptophyta; Magnoliopsida; Lamiales; Oleaceae. The record is from RNAcentral.